AUCCAGCCAUGCCGCGUGUGUGAAGAAGGCCUUUUGGUUGUAAAGCACUUUAAGCGAGGAGGAGGCUACUCUAGUUAAUACCUAGAGAUAGUGGACGUUACUCGCAGAAUAAGCACCGGCUAACUCUGUGCCAGCAGCCGCGGUAAUACAGAGGGUGCAAGCGUUAAUCGGAUUUACUGGGCGUAAAGCGCGCGUAGGUGGCCAAUUAAGUCAAAUGUGAAAUCCCCGAGCUUAACUUGGGAAUUGCAUUCGAUACUGGUUGGCUAGAGUAUGGGAGAGGAUGGUAGAAUUCCAGGUGUAGCGGUGAAAUGCGUAGAGAUCUGGAGGAAUACCGAUGGCGAAGGCAGCCAUCUGGCCUAAUACUGACACUGAGGUGCGAAAGCAUGGGGAGCAAACAGGAUUAGAUACCCUGGUAGUCCAUGCCGUAAACGAUGUCUACUAGCCGUUGGGGCCUUUGAGGCUUUAGUGGCGCAGCUAACGCGAUAAGUAGACCGCCUGGGGAGUACGGUCGCAAGACUA
Molecule: ribosomal RNA, 519 nt
Filed under: bacterium E-2-0-3F
Lineage: Bacteria
Also listed under: 1 other name
Description: bacterial SSU rRNA
Rfam family: Bacterial small subunit ribosomal RNA
Source: RNAcentral